AACAGUUCCUGCUUUUUAAGAGUCUGCGCUUGUUUUCUGAAGUUUUUCAUGAUAUAAACAUCUCACUUUCUCACCGCCACAGCUUUCUCUUAUUCCACAUUGUGUUGAUCUGUAGAUUUGUUCGAUAAAUAACGAGUUUUGUGCAGAUUUGACACCUGAGUAACAGGAUGAAGCUGAAGAGUAAUAAGAAUCCAGAAUACUAGAGGUGUCACCAGAUACGAAUACAAAUAUGAACAACAGGACACUCCUGAAUGCCAGAACUGAAGUGACUUUCAUCCAUCACAUUUUGUUUUCUGUCUUUCUUUCUACCCUUCAACUUUUCG
Ictalurus punctatus (channel catfish) is the source of this 323-nucleotide long non-coding RNA. NCBI's taxonomy places the organism in Eukaryota, Metazoa, Chordata, Actinopteri, Siluriformes, Ictaluridae. The record is from Ensembl.